GACGAACGCUGGCGGCGUGCUUAACACAUGCAAGUCGAGCGGUAAGGCCCUUUCGGGGGUACACGAGCGGCGAACGGGUGAGUAACACGUGGGUGACCUGCCCUCAGCUCUGGGAUAAGCCUGGGAAACCGGGUCUAAUACUGGAUAUGACUCCAUGACGCAUGUUGUGGGGUGGAAAGCCUUGUGCGGCUGAGGAUGGGCCCGCGGCCUAUCAGCUUGUUGGUGGGGUGAUGGCCUACCAAGGCGACGACGGGUAGCCGGCCUGAGAGGGCGACCGGCCACACUGGGACUGAGACACGGCCCAGACUCCUACGGGAGGCAGCAGUGGGGAAUCUUGCGCAAUGGGCGAAAGCCCGACGCAGCGACGCCGCGUGAGGGAUGACGGCCU
RNAcentral lists this ribosomal RNA (388 nucleotides) under uncultured bacterium. RNAcentral's name for it is "bacterial SSU rRNA". It matches the Rfam family "Bacterial small subunit ribosomal RNA", at positions 28 to 417 of the family's 1533-position model. The record is from RNAcentral.